This 480-nucleotide long non-coding RNA is filed under the name Homo sapiens (human). RNAcentral describes it as "HSALNT0312118". The record is from RNAcentral. Lineage: Eukaryota; Metazoa; Chordata; Mammalia; Primates; Hominidae.
ACUUGAAUCACAGGACUGAAUAAGGAAGAGCUGCCCUCAGCGUGGCCGGGCAACAUCUAAUCGGCUGAAAGCUUGGAUCGAAUGAAAAGGCAGAGGAAAGGUGAAUUUUCUUUUUAUCCUGGAGCUGGACACCCUGUUUCUCCUGCCUGUGGACAUCAGAAUUCUAGGCUCUGUGGCAUUUCAACUGUAAAACUUGCACUAGUAGCCAGCUGGUUUCUCAAGUCGUUGGCUUCAAAACUGAGAAGUACAGCAUUCUCUUCCCAGGUUCUGAAGACCUCAAAUGGACUGAGCCACACUACCAGCAUCCAGCAUCCAUGGUUCUCCAGUCUGCAGAUGGCCUAUUAUGGGACUUUUCAGUCUUCAUAAUUAUAUGAGAGAAAGAAAAUGAAAAGGAUUUGUAAACUAUAAAUCUCUAAACAGAUGGGAGGAAAGGAAUUGAUGAAACAAUAAAUUUAUUGAUGAAACAAUAAAAAUAAACAU